GGUAAAGCCAAUGAUUAGAGG
Molecule: small RNA, 21 nt
Filed under: Arabidopsis thaliana (thale cress)
Lineage: Eukaryota; Viridiplantae; Streptophyta; Magnoliopsida; Brassicales; Brassicaceae
Description: snRNA_17756
Source: RNAcentral